RNAcentral lists this ribosomal RNA (118 nucleotides) under Pteropus alecto (black flying fox). Lineage: Eukaryota; Metazoa; Chordata; Mammalia; Chiroptera; Pteropodidae. The record is from RNAcentral.
GUCUACGCCAUGCUACCCUGAACAAGCCCGAUCCCAGCUGAUCUCGGAAGCUAAGCAGGGUCGAGCCUGGUUAGUACUUGGAUGUGAGACCACCUAGGAAGACCAGAUGCUAUAGGCG